This 627-nucleotide ribosomal RNA is filed under the name Triticum aestivum (bread wheat). RNAcentral describes it as "partial small subunit ribosomal RNA". Lineage: Eukaryota; Viridiplantae; Streptophyta; Magnoliopsida; Poales; Poaceae. The record is from RNAcentral.
AUGGACUACGGCAAAAUGGCGAAAGGGCCAAUUAAGCCACUCAUUAUGUUUGUUGUGAGGACCUUGCAUGCCGAGAGCCAGCAACAUCGACAAAACCAACAAUGGUCAAGACAGAUAGCUUCUUCCACCCGUUAUGGGAUAAUGAUUCCGACACCUGGUAUCACACAAGGCGCAAGCGAAACUUCUACAACGUCUUAUCUAACAUACAACAUGGAUCCUUCAUCUGGUGCCGGCUUGGUUCCAGGGAGUGCCAAUAGUGGUACCUCGCUGCGAGGGGGAGCUCCUGAUGAGCAUGUGAACACAAUGUUGUCUCAGGGGAUACUCCCUACACAACAUGGUUGGUCUAGAGCGUCCAACAAUAACCUUGUAAUAAACACAGUAGACACACCUGAAACCAACAAACACUUGGCAUGCCCCGCACCUUCGAAGGAUCUCCCAAAGGAACCAAAGUUCAGCUGCCCAGUCUGCAUGAACGAGUUGGUCGAUGCGUCGUCGACUAUCUGCGGCCACAUCUUCUGUCAGAAGUGCAUCGAGGCCUCCAUCCAGGCUCAGAGCAAGUGCCCUACCUGCCGUAGGAUGCUGACCGUGAACAGUUUUCACCGUAUCUACCUCCCGACCAUGGACUGA